AUAGUUACCUGACAGGGGAGAUACAUUAUUGUAAAGGUGGUUUUCCCAGGGAGGGACUAUUUAUUGCACUCCGAUGAACUGACCCCUAUCAUUUCCCCAAAUGUGGGAAAUUGGACUGCCUAAUUUAUGGUAGUAGGGGACUGUAUCUCUACUUUUUCCUU
Molecule: small nuclear RNA, 161 nt
Organism: Sorex fumeus (smoky shrew)
Lineage: Eukaryota; Metazoa; Chordata; Mammalia; Eulipotyphla; Soricidae
Product: U1 spliceosomal RNA
Exons: 1
Source: RefSeq, a predicted model, not a curated record